This 58-nucleotide microRNA precursor is filed under the name Ascaris suum (pig roundworm). Lineage: Eukaryota; Metazoa; Nematoda; Chromadorea; Rhabditida; Ascarididae. The record is from RNAcentral.
GCUGGCUUACCGUCUAGUGCAUGUAAUGUGAAAUCAUGACUAGACUGGUAACCUGCUC